Molecule: ribosomal RNA, 404 nt
Filed under: uncultured bacterium
Lineage: Bacteria
Description: partial 16S ribosomal RNA
Rfam family: Bacterial small subunit ribosomal RNA
Source: RNAcentral
GAUGAACGCUGACAGAAUGCUUAACACAUGCAAGUCAACUGUGGCGGACGGGUGAGUAACGCGUAAAGAACUUGCCGCACAGAUAGGGACAACAUUUGGAAACGAAUGCUAAUACCUGACACUGUGAGAGAGCUUUGCGUCCCAUGAGCUAGUUGGAGAGGUAACGGCCCACCAAGGCGAUGAUGGGUAGCCGGCCUGGGAGGGUGAUCGGCCACAAGGGGACCGGUGCAGCGCCCGUAGUCCAUCGUGAGCAAGCGGUGGGGAAUUUUGGGCGAUGGGCCACAGUCUGAACCAGCUAUUCUGUGUGUACGAUGAAGUUUUCGUAAUGAAAAGUGCUUUCAGUUGGGAAGCGGUAUCAACAGAGGAAGUGACGGCUAAAUACGUGCCAGCAGCCGCGGUAAUAC